Molecule: long non-coding RNA, 762 nt
Organism: Condylura cristata (star-nosed mole)
Lineage: Eukaryota; Metazoa; Chordata; Mammalia; Eulipotyphla; Talpidae
Exons: 3
Source: RefSeq, a predicted model, not a curated record
CCCUCGCCCCUCCUCUGGCCCCGCCCGCGCCUCCUUCCGCAUUUCCCCGCGGAGCGGGAGUCGCCGGCCUCUUACUCGUGCUGGACGAACGGCACAGCCGCGGCUACUUUGUGGCGGGCUCAGGGCCCGACCUGCGGCUGCAUUAACGUCGAAAAACCGACCUUGGAGUUUGUCUACAACGCCCACCGGGGUGCAGCGGCCAGAUUGUGAGCCAGGUUGAAACUGCAAGUUCUAGCCAUUGAAGCUAGGAUGCUCUGUUGCUGGUAUUUUGACUUAUUCUACAGUUUACAGUAUACACGUGCCUAAUGUGGUCAGACUGUUUCCUAAGUUGUAGCAACCAUGUAAUUUCCCAGGAGUUAGAGGGUUGGUAUUAUACACAUGCUUUAUUUAUCCCCAGCUCUAUGACCCUGUUCUCCCAUUUACAGAGGAAGGAACUGGGGUUAGAUAGUGGCUCAUACAUGAAGAGUCUUAUGCAAGGAACGUUUGUGAUCUCUGGAAAUUCACGUAGCUCUCCUGAGAUUGAGUGUCAUAUUGUGACAGUAAAUACAUCUAAAUACAUUAGGCCAGUGUGGGGAGGAAACCACAGUAGAGUUAAGAAUGUAGGCUGUUCUUGGUAAGUAAUUAGAGCGAACCUCCAAAGAAUACAGAUUUUGCCACCAAGAGGAAUUGUUUCUCUGUACUUUGGAUGUUUUGAAUGAAUGUAGCACAAUGAGAUGUAGAAAAAUACUUAAACAGUCCAGGAUAUUCUAGAAGUUCGUUCUG